This 245-nucleotide ribosomal RNA is filed under the name uncultured bacterium. RNAcentral's name for it is "partial 16S ribosomal RNA". It matches the Rfam family "Bacterial small subunit ribosomal RNA", at positions 100 to 334 of the family's 1533-position model. The record is from RNAcentral.
CCGGCACGGGUGGAGUAACACGUAUGCAAUCCACCUGUAACAGGGGGAGUAACCCGGACGAAAUACCGGACUAAUACCCCAUAAUAUGGGGCGCCCGCAUGGAGAGCCCAUUAAAGAGAGCAAUUUUGGUUACAGACGAGCAUGCGCUCCAUUAGCCAGUUGGCGGGGUAACGGCCCACCAAAGCGACGAUGGAUAGGGGUUCUGAGAGGAAGGUCCCCCACAUUGGAACUGAGACACGGUCCAA